CUUCGGAAUGUUUGCUUUCACUGGGCCCUCCUGGAUGGAUUGGCAACUCUUCCCAAGUCAGACCCUGGUAUGCCCUUGUUGGUUUCUAGCAGUUAGCAGGCUGGGCAAGGAGGCGACUGGGAAGAGUCCUCCUCAAUGAACGCAUGCGUGUAAGAGGGAAGGAAUGAACUACGAACAGGAAGUAAAUUUCUUUCCAAGAGAAAAAAGCUGGAAAAAUAAUUGUUCCUCUUGUUUAGAAGAUGACAGCUUUUUUUUUUCUUCAUUAAGCGCCCUUCUCUUCAAAAGACAAAAAAGGGUGAGAGAAACUUGAAGACUUCAGUCCUUUUUGUAUCUAUGACUCCGGAAAGGAAAGAAAAAUAAACCAUGUAGAACCUGCUUGCUGUCCUGUCCUCUGCCAGCCGUUGGCCUCAGUAAUCGGAUUCAAGGAUAUGUAUGACCUACUUUUUGAAUCACUGCAGCCCAGGCUGCGCAAUUUCUUAUGUUCUCUUGCUGAGAAACCAACAUACAAGCAGAGAUUGUGUAUUUUUCUGUAAAGGUAGAGGUAGGCGCUUCUGGAAAUUCUGGAAACCUUUCCAAGUUUACAGCACAAACGACCGGAAUGUUAAGAAGGGCUUUUGUUAACAGCUACCCAACACUGUCCUGGAGGCUUUUUAAAGAGCUUAUCUCAUUGAAGCCAAGGCUGGGGCUAGCGAGAGGCCAAUGAGAGACCCAGGUAAUUUUAGAGUCACUCUGGAGGGAAGAUUCGUAUCUUGAAAAAUUCUUCCAGGUGAUUUGGACAUACCUUUCUGCCUCCCAGCCACCCCCCCCCGCCAUGGCUCAUAGCCACGUCUCCGGGAUUCCUCAGCUCUAUUUCUGGAUUUGGUCAGAAAACAGCCUGCUCUGCUGGAUUAGCUCAUCUCUCCAUGGAAAUGCCACCCUGGAGUUAUGAGAGCACGGCCUCUUUCUAAGGCUUUCUGGUGCAAUGCAACCCUCCUCGAUGGCCACAGCUGAUUGACUGGAGUGAACCUGUGACCUGAACUGGGCCAGUCAGAUUUUUCAUACUGGAAAUUUGGCGUCGGAGCCCUGAGAAACAAGUCAGGUGGUCUCGGGGGCUGAAGCUACCCCUGUGGGGUGACUAGUGGAACUCCUGGUAGUGAGAAAAAGUGAGAUGAGACUGAUGAUCUUCAGAAGGAAAAGUUUGGACUAAACACCCAGAGGAAAGCUGAAAUGAGAGACCACAUGGAAUGAAGGAGAACGUGAGUAUGAGCAAGCGAAGAAAGCCAAUCACUGAGACAAGUAUUGCCAGGGAAGAAGGCUUUUUUGGGUGCUACAGCUGAGGAGCUGGGAGGUCAAAACAGUGUGGGAAAAGAAAUUUAAAAAAAUGUUAUUAAAGAAGCUACUGUCAACCUAAAGGAAGAAACUGAGGCAAAAUUAAUGAACACUACUCCCCAAAUAGGUUCUGCCCAUGGGAUGUGGAGAUGAUGAAUUUUCUAACCUCAGUGUUGCUGACACUUAGAUCCAUGCGCUUCUGGAAAGACUCAUUUCUAAGCCAUCACGGCUGAUUGAAUGAUUGUAUCCCCCAGGUGUUUAAUAAUGGAUCCAUGUCAAUCCUAAAAGAAGUAUCUGGUGGACUGCAAUAAGGUUCUGCCUGUGAUCGUCUUCAUUUUAUCAUCCACUCAUGAAGAUGUGAAAGCCAGACUUCAGACAGACAAUUAGAGGGCAUUAGUAAUGCAUAUUGGAUGAGAAGUUGUGACACAAAAUUUUAAUAGGCUGCAAAGAUGUGCUAAAAUUCACUAGGUAUAAAUGAUGUCAUAGGUUCAGGGAGAUACUGAGACAAGUGUGAACAGAAUACAUGAGAUUACACUGAAGUUCAAUUAACUGCUAGUCAAAAACUAAAAACUAAAACAAUGUAUUCUGUAGUGAACACUUGCAGAUCUGUGUGCUUAGUUCACCUUUUCUAGAAGUUGCCCCUUCCCUUGUCCAGAUGGUUGCAAAAAAGCACUGACGUCACAACAUGACCUGGUUCCUGGCCACAGUUGAUAGGUCCAGAAACUGAUACUCAACUUAAGAAUAAGGAUCUGUUCUGUUUAUUUUAAAAUCAGAACCAAGAAUGGUAAGCUGGACUGUCUUCGAAAGCCUGGACUCUAAGAAGUAAAGCUUUGGAUUUAUAGGCAGCCAUGUCCCCCACCACUGGGGUGGCAGAGGAAUCUAGUCUUUGGAGAGAGGGGUGGACAUGAGAGAUGGAAAGAGACUCCUGUCUACAUGUUCCUAUGGCUCAGUUGCAUUUCUCUUCCUUGAGUAUCACUGUAUUCUAAUAACCUAAUAGAUCCUCAUAUCUUCCCUUUCAACUCAAGCUAACUAAGUGUCUCAUAUUUGCAAAGCAAAAUGUUCCAAGUACAUGACUUAAGCUCCAGCUACAGUGCCCUGAAUAAGGGUGGGAUAAUCAUAAUAGUAAAUUUCCAAGUGGCCAAGUCUUAACUUUGCCUUGGCCACACUAAUGUGGUCCAUGUGGUCAUUUCCAGGCUCAACUUUCUGAAGAUGAUGGUCAAGAGACAGAAGUCUCUGAGGAAGAGGAGGUAGCUGUUUAGAAAUGUUUAAAGGGUUGCCAUGUAUAAGUCAAAGUAGGUGUUCUAUGUUGCUCCAACAGACAAAAAUGAUACCAAUAGUCAAAAGUUGGAAUGCAGAUUUUGACUGGACACAACAAUUGUUUUUGUAAGUAUUAGACUUAUCCAAUAAAGGAAUGGAUGACCUAGUGAAGGAUCAAGGUCUCUGUCAAUGGAAGGUUGGGUCAGAACUUAGAUAUACAUUUAUUUGGGAGUUUGAUGAAUAGAUGGCUAUUAAUAGCUGUCAUUUAUCAAAGGCUUUUUAUGUGUGAAACACUGUGCUUGACAUAUGCUUUAUGUAAAUUUACACAUCUUCAUAAUAAUCAUAUGAAUAGAUAUACCUUAUACAUUUAAUAAUAGUUAUCAAAUAUUUAUAAGAACAAUAUUUUGGUAAUUUUAAACGUAAAAUUAAAAAAAUUUGUUAUGCUUCAAUUGUAGAAUUAUGCUACAAUUAAUUUCAGUCUUUGAAGUAUUUGUAAUUUUACCACUUCAUGGCAUUUUUCUACUUUU
RNAcentral lists this long non-coding RNA (3092 nucleotides) under Homo sapiens (human). RNAcentral describes it as "HSALNT0040142". Lineage: Eukaryota; Metazoa; Chordata; Mammalia; Primates; Hominidae. The record is from RNAcentral.